This 480-nucleotide long non-coding RNA is filed under the name Eucalyptus grandis. Its description in RNAcentral is "long non-coding RNA (EGRA_LNC003481)". The record is from RNAcentral. Lineage: Eukaryota; Viridiplantae; Streptophyta; Magnoliopsida; Myrtales; Myrtaceae.
GCCUGAAAAAGACGAAGAUGCUAUUCCACAAUUAAUAUGAGAUCAAGGACUUCUGCCAGGCGACCACUUUACAAGUUACACUCACGUUAGAUCCAUAGUUUCUAUUAGCAACACGAGUUUAGUGCACAGAUUGAGAUCCCAACAUACCAUCUGCUUACAAAUAGUGAUGCCAGACCCCAUAUUUCAAGGCCACUAGGCUAAACAUAAUGGUGUGCGCUGUGCAGACAGACCCCAUAUUUCAAGGCCACUAGGCUAAACAUAAUGGUGUGCGCUGUGCAGAGGAUAGAAAAGCUACAUCUAGAUUACUUGAUGGAAUGAAAAGGGAAAGCAAAUACUUGAAGUUGAAGGGUGACCAGGCAAGGUCUAGUGUAGCAAAACAUAUGUCUUGGGCAGAAAAGGUCUAUUGAUAUUCCAUCUCCACUACUCAGUUUUUAGAAUCUAUAAAAGCAAUCAAAGCAAACAUCUGCAUGAUGUACCGUU